UACGUAGGGUGCAAGCGUUGUCCGGAAUUAUUGGGCGUAAAGAGCUCGUAGGCGGUCUGUCACGUCGGCUGUGAAAACCCGGGGCUCAACCUCGCGCCUGCAGUGGGUACGGGCAGACUAGAGUGCGGUAGGGGAGAUUGGAAUUCCUGGUGUAGCGGUGGAAUGCGCAGAUAUCAGGAGGAACACCGAUGGCGAAGGCAGAUCUCUGGGCCGUAACUGACGCUGAGGAGCGAAAGCGUGGGGAGCGAACAGG
Molecule: ribosomal RNA, 253 nt
Filed under: uncultured bacterium
Lineage: Bacteria
Description: partial 16S ribosomal RNA
Rfam family: Bacterial small subunit ribosomal RNA
Source: RNAcentral